RNAcentral lists this long non-coding RNA (427 nucleotides) under Helianthus annuus (common sunflower). Lineage: Eukaryota; Viridiplantae; Streptophyta; Magnoliopsida; Asterales; Asteraceae. The record is from RNAcentral.
AAAGGGAAAGUUUCAAGAUCAUGGAAAGAAAGAUAAGUCAAAAGGUGGAAUAACUCCCUGCAAGACGUGCGGAAAACUCCAUACGGGAGAGUGUUUGUUGGGCAAGAAAGGAUGUUACAAAUGUGGUAAAGAAGGACAUUCGUCUUACCAAUGUCCAACUAGCCCGAAGACUUGCUUCAAUUGUUUCGAAAAGGGGCAUAUCAAAUCUGAAUGCCCAAAACUUCAACAAGAGUCCAGAAAAGAAGAUAAGAAGCAAGAAGGUUCGAGGGCAAAAGGGAGAAUGUUCCAAAUUACAUCUGAAGAGGCCAAGUCUCACCCGAAUGUGAUUUCAGGCGUGAAGGAAGAAAGUUCGAAUUCUAAGAAAGCGGAAGGAUCCCAAGACCGAGGUAUGUUCCGUUGCAUACGAAAGUUUACUUUUAAUUGUUAA